CUGUUUUAAAAAGAUGGUUCUGCUAUCACUCUUGGGAUGGACCUGCGGUGCAUUAGCUAGUUGGUAGGGUAACGGCCUACCAAGGCGAUGAUGCAUAGCCCGAGUUGAGAGACUGAUCGGCCACAUUGGGACUGAGACACGGCCCAAACUCCUACGGGAGGCAGCAGUAGGGAAAUCUUCCACAAUGGACGCAAGUCUGAUGGAGCAACGCCGCGUGAGUGAAGAAGGGUUUCGGCUCGUAAAGCUCUGUUGUUGGUGAAGAAGGACAGGGGUAGUAACUGACCUUUGUUUGACGGUAAUCAAUUAGAAAGUCACGGCUAACUACGUGCCCAGCAGCCGCGGGUAAU
This 347-nucleotide ribosomal RNA is filed under the name uncultured Lactobacillus sp. Its description in RNAcentral is "bacterial SSU rRNA". It matches the Rfam family "Bacterial small subunit ribosomal RNA", at positions 194 to 524 of the family's 1533-position model. Lineage: Bacteria; Bacillati; Bacillota; Bacilli; Lactobacillales; Lactobacillaceae. The record is from RNAcentral.